This 442-nucleotide ribosomal RNA is filed under the name uncultured bacterium. RNAcentral's name for it is "partial 16S ribosomal RNA". It matches the Rfam family "Bacterial small subunit ribosomal RNA", at positions 338 to 795 of the family's 1533-position model. The record is from RNAcentral.
CCUACGGGUGGCUGCAGUGGGGAAUAUUGGGCAAUGGGCGCAAGCCUGACCCAGCAACGCCGCGUGAAGGAAGAAGGCUUUCGGGUUGUAAACUUCUUUUAAGAGGGAAGAGCAGAAGGCCGUACCUUUUGAAUAAGCCACGGCUAACUACGUGCCAGCCGCCGCCGUUAUACGUAGGUGGCAAGCGUUGUCCGGAUUUACUGGGUGUAAAGGGCGUGCAGCCGGGAAGACAAGUCAGAUGUGAAAUCCCGCGGCUCAACCGCGGAACUGCAUUUGAAACUGUUUUUCUUGAGUACCGGAGAGGUAAUCGGAAUUCCUUGUGUAGCGGUGAAAUGCGUAGAUAUAAGGAAGAACACCAGUGGCGAAGGCGGAUGACUGGACAGCAACUGACGGUGAGGCACGAAAGCGAGGGGAGCGAAAGGGAUUAGAUACCCCUGUAGUC